RNAcentral lists this non-coding RNA (23 nucleotides) under Arabidopsis thaliana (thale cress). The record is from RNAcentral. Lineage: Eukaryota; Viridiplantae; Streptophyta; Magnoliopsida; Brassicales; Brassicaceae.
ACCCUCUCUGGCGCCCCUUUCCA